This is a long non-coding RNA of Lagopus muta (rock ptarmigan), 3884 nucleotides long. RefSeq lists it as uncharacterized. Lineage: Eukaryota; Metazoa; Chordata; Aves; Galliformes; Phasianidae. The transcript is spliced from 5 exons. The record is from RefSeq and is a predicted model, not a curated record.
AGCUGUAGUGACACAUUCCUCGUUAAGGUAACAUACAGAAGCAGAGAGGCUGGAGAUAAGCUGUGGGGUACCUGUUGGGAAAGGAAAACAGGAAUUCGUGAAGAGGAAGAAGCUGAAGAGCUUUGGAUACCAUGGUUGGAGGUGUCGUAUGCAAGUGCAGGCUAGUCAGGAAUAGCUGGGUUGUUUCUACAGCUGGCCUGUUCGCUUGAAUAACCCUGCCGAGAGAAAGCGAACGCGUUCCUGCCUGUCAGCAAAACCCCUGCGAGGAUGAAGCGGCCGCACUGCCACCGCGCGUUGCCUGCCUGGAACAGCACGACCCUGCGCCCUGCUGCUUUUCCUCCGCGGGUUACCGCCUACCAAGAGGAUUAGAGACCAUAAUUCUCCUGAAUCUUAUAUAACUCUGCUCAGGUGGAAUGAGCUUGGUGCUACAGUACUGUUGUCAGAAGAAACAGUGUCAAAAUCUGCCAUGCUCUUGAUGAGAUAGAAAACCAUGAGACUGAGAAGAGCACAACUGAGGAUUGAAAGUCAUCAACAAAAGAUAGGUCAAUGGAAUAUUAUUAAUUUUGAGGAGCACAUUUUGUGACAACAGAAGUCCAUCUGAGGUAAAUGCAGGACCUGCUACAGGAGUACCAGAGUAAAAGGAAGAGGCACAGUGCAUGGGUUAGUUUUCAAAUUGCUAGAGGAAAUUAACAUAGAAAUAGCUGAUAGGAAUAAAGAGUCUAUGUUUAUUUAGGGAUAUUUUAGGGGUUGCCUACUGAAAACUAAAACAAGGCCUGUUGAGGUAGUCUUGGGAGAAGAAAAGCAAUAAAGUAGCACCAACACUAUUAGUGAUGUUUGAUGUUCAAGACAUUUUGCAAUUGUAUUCUGUAAGGGAACAGUUUAACAGUUAUGUCUUUUUUUUUUUUUAAGCUGAGCGUAUCAGCGCCUUGACUUCAAACAGUCAGUGUUUGUUAGCCAGGAGUAAAGACUGAGAAGUAAGAAGAGGAACCAUGGCUUAUUCUGAGGAAGGUGGAAUCUGUUUUUAGCUUAUAGAUGAGAAAGAGUGACAUAUUCUGUUCUUUUCAAGAGGAAAGAAUGUAGGAAAGAAGGUGGAAGAAAGAACAGUGUAAAGAGAUGGGAAGAGGGUGUGAACUUUCAAUCACAGUGAAAAUGGAUACUUUACCUUCCGUAUAAAAAUAGCAAGAACAGUUCAUGAAAUAUUUGAACUUGUGGUCGAGUCAAUCUACUCCAAACUUUAAUGUACUUUGAAUUGUGUUCCCAUAUUUUUAGUGUCUCUUUGUUGAAAAAAAAAAUUGCAAAUACAGACAAAUUAUGUGUUAUGAUAAGCAUACUAGUAAGACUACCAAUAUACUAAACUGUUGUAAUAAACAUAAAUCUGAAAAUUUAAAAUAAGUUUCUGAAAGCAUAAAUGUGUUGAUAUAUCAUAAAAUGUCCAAUUAAAAUUCGGGAUAUUUUAUUUUCAUAUAUCAAUCUUUAUGUUUUUUUGAGUGAGACAGAGAAUAAAGAAAAAUGAUUGGUCACACAAGCCUGUAAGACUUUUUAAAAAUUAUUUUAUGCAGGAAAGAAUAAAGGGUAGGUUGAAGCUAUCACACUAUGUACUGGAGAGGCAAUUGGAGUACUAAUGCAGUUUCCUCUUUCAUAUCCUCUAUAUGAUAUCUUCCCAGAAGCAGAAGGCUGUACUGUGGAGUCUUCUGUCAUCAUGAGACUCAACUCAAAUGUACACCAUUUUCAUAAGGAAUUGAAGAUUCACCUCUUGAUACACUUACAAGUUGAGGCCCAAAGAGAAAAGAAGAUUGCAAUAUCCUAUCAGUAUGACAUGGAAGUGAAAAAAAACCCACGCAGUUAUACUGAGUUAUUAUGAUUCAAGAGCUUACAGAUCUAGAGGGGGAUUUUUACACAAGCACAGUUGUUCAGGAGAAGCAAGGAUAAAAAAUGAUGGGUUUUAAGUAAUGACUGCAUAGUGUGAUCUAAGUGUCACUGAAGGUGAGAAGAUGUUUGCAUGAUUUUCAGCAGCAAUGUCAUCUCUUUUGUUGUUGUUGUUAUUGCUUUAAAUUGAAGUAGCAGGGAUAAGGAAUAGCUUAAAUGAAGAUAUUUCUUGCAUGUUAAACAAAAUGAGGCAUUGGAAAGUGUGAACUUUAACUUUGACAAAGAGGAAAGGUUUUUUGCUUCAAAAUAUGCCAAAACCCAAUUAGAAUAAUUGUACAAAAAGUAUUCUAUUGCUUGCAAGCACUAGACACUGAAGAGGAUCAAGGGUAUGCAUCAACAUCAUUAUUAUCAAGUAACUGCUUGUAUAAGAUGUUGAAGGGAGGCUAAAGUAAGCUUGAGAAUGCUUGAGAGGGUCAACCUUCCUUCAUUCUUUAAAUCACUUUAGAUUAGGAGUCACUGAAGUCAAAAUGGAGUCAUAGCCCAUGAAAUCAGAGGAACUGCUUCAUUAUUGUCAAGUACAUUUAAGGAGAGCCAGGCUAAGCUACUGUACAGAGGAUUCAAAUUUAUAUUAACAGUGUUGUGCACUCAGUUCUUUCUACUGUGAUUUGGCCUUUUGUUCUGCUGCUCUCUGUUCUUCCUGUAUCACCUCACUGUGCCUGUGUAAGGUGAUUUUCCUCACUCUUUUGGGUUUUGAUGAAGCAUGGAAUUUUUCUGGGAGUGGUUGGCUUGCUAGUCUAUAUCAGAUUGUAUUCCUCUCCAGUCUGUACAGAUUCUACCACAGGAUGGUAUUCCCCUGAAUUUCCCCAAAAAGCAAUCAAUAAAAGCAAGUUCUUGCAGGCUGUUCAGCAUCUAAUUAUCUGCUUUGUGUGUACAAUAUGGAUCACAAGAAUCUUUAUAGUGCAGGUCUGUAUUAAAUCACAAGGAUGGGAUGCAGAGAUUUUGGAGAUUUUACGAGGAAGCCUGGCAGAAAUUGCAACUCCAGUGGGAGCAGGAGAAUGACUGAGACUGAGGAAUGGCUUGUUGGGCACAUAUGUUAGUGUUAAUUAACUGUGCAUUUGUCAUCUGCUGAAGGAAAAGAAGUAACAGAGGAUUGGUCAUGCUGAGUGGAAAAGGCACAAGAAAAGUGCUAUGGCUGGAAUAGAUGGCUCUGCUGAAAAGGAAAGAGGUGAUCUGGAUGGAAUUGCAGAGGGACAGAAGGAGGAGAUGGCUUGGUUGAGUGAACACACAUGCUUAUCAGCAUCAGAUUUUAUUAUCCAAGAGUGACCAGCUGCUAGAGAACUGGUAAUAAUCCACUCCCUCAAACAGAUGUGGACCAACAUAAAACAGCGAGUAAGGAAGAAAGGAUUCCAGGGUUGAUCACCAUUGCACCACACUCCUCCAGCGCGGAAUUUUGAAAGUAGGGUGUCCUUACCAUACACAUAUUUGUUGGUUUGUGAUGUGCAUAAAAUAACUUUUUCUAUCCUCAACAGAAAGAAAACCCACAGAUGAGUUCAUCCUACUAUGGAAGAUGCUCACAGAACGAUAAGUCUAGAAGACUUCCACUUUCAUGGGUGUUUGUAAGCACAGGCGUUGGAGGGGACAUGCCACAUGCAUGUGUGACCAUCCAGGUGUGCCCAGAACUGAGGUGGUUUUACAUCAGUGCCAGGGCUCAAAUGAGACAGAAAUGUAGCAAGGUAGUGCACACUUUGCUUAAGUAACAAAGUUGAGAUCAUGUAAGCUCUAUCCUGUGGCACCAGGAAGUGACCACGAUGGGCAGAAUCCAUUAGCACCAUGAAUUUUGCCAAGUGGAACUAGAAUGGACUUAAUUUUGAUGUCGUUUGCAGCUGGGUAGCAAGGAGUAGAAAAUGCCAGUUUGGCAUCUACCACGUGUUGAGCACGUGUUUUUUUUCUAUCUAUUUUGCUUCAAAACAUGCAUUGAAAAAUACUGUGGGUAUUUACCUUCAGAUACUGAAAGUUCU